Molecule: long non-coding RNA, 1944 nt
Filed under: Taeniopygia guttata (zebra finch)
Lineage: Eukaryota; Metazoa; Chordata; Aves; Passeriformes; Estrildidae
Description: lncRNA (ENSTGUG00000029688.1)
Source: RNAcentral
AACAGCCCUGCAGGCCGUGAGAGCAGCAGCGGGGCAGCGAGGCUGCCAUGGAUCCCUUCCUGCUGUGCCAGGCACGGCCUGUCCAGAUCUGCAGGGACAGCCCCCGGCUGCUGAGUCCCAGGGGAAGGGGGAGGGAAAUGCACCCACCAUGCUGUCUCUCCAGAUCACUCAGGAUUUCUUCAAGAUGUUUUGAUUCCUCCCUGGAUUUACUCCUUCCUAUAUGUUUGUUCUUUCCUCUCAGGGGACCUUAAGAGAAAUAUUUCCAUUUCCCAGGCAUGGAUACCACAAAACCCGUGCUCAGCCUGUGGAGUCAGCAGGGACACACUACUCACCCCUGCGAUGGAAGCUGGGCUUGCGAGCAACAUGCACCAAAGGACCUGAGAAAGUCUUCUCUGCAGCCACACCUGUAACUCAACAGCCACAGAAGCCUCUGUCAUCUCUGCAGAUCUGCACGGGCAGCACUGAGCCCCAGGAGCGGUGAGGGGAUGGCCCAGGGCGAGGGCACACACGUGCGUGGUUCUGUCCUGGCACCUGCAGCGAUGCCCCCCUGGCCGAGCUUUGGGCUCUGAGCUGGCAGCUCUCGCAGGGGGAAAGGCCUUGACCUACCCUCACCAUCUCCCAGAGGCUCAGUAAUGGGUAUGGGUUGGGAAUCCAGAUCCUCUUCAUCCUCACGUUCAGCUGCAAAGAAAGGCAGGACAGAACACCUCCGGGGACACUGCUGAAGAUUCUCCUUCAGGCUGCAGUGGCAGUGAGUGCCCCUGGGCGAUUGGAGCCCUCCAAGGCAUUCCCUCAGCUCUGCCUUCCACUCAGGAGCAGGGGCAGGGGGACCACAUGCCAGUGCUGGCCCCGCACUGGGAUGGAAGGAGCCCCUUGUGGGGCAGUCAGGGGAGAAAGGACUCCCUGGAGCUGCCAGCAGCUCUAAACCCAGCCGCAGACAGGGCCAGGGCUUGACAGCGGCAGCAGGAGCAGCUCAGGCUCCCUGGGGCAGGCAAAGGAGCUGAGAAAGGCUCAGCCCCGGGACACAGCCCUGGGCCCGGCCCUUCCCUCUCUGCUCUUCUCUGGGGCUGCACAGAGCACACGGAAGGACACACUGGCAUUGCACAUGGGUGGAAGAUGGACAGCUAAAUGCUCCUUCCUCCCACUGACAGUGAUCCUCCUGUGGGAUUGCUGUUGGGCACAGGAGUAGGAAUUUGGGGGACAGGAUUUCUAGAAUACAUCAAACUUCAAAGGAUCUUAAAGGAAAUCACACAUAAAUAUUCCUCUGGACAAUGAUUUCUCUGUUAGGAAAGGGUUGCUGAUAACCUACCUUCACCAGACUUCAAGAUCCUUAAACCGUGGUUUAUCACUCUUUCCAAACGCUUCAAGUCACGGUCCCAAUCUAGAAAGGAGCACAGAUGGGAAAUGUUCCAUGGUGUGCUGGGAUCCCCCUUCUAUGAGGAAGUGAGCACUGCAAGGGGCUCAGGUAAUGCUGUGAGCCCGCCCUGCCAAGCAGCAGAGAGGGCAGCUCAAGGCUCAGCAGGGCUCAGGCCCAGAGGCACAGCAAUUACCUCCUGUGACUGUGCCUGGCAGCGCCUCCCUUCCUGCAGCAGAGGCUGCCAAUGAGCCACUGCUUCCUCUGGGAAACUCAGCCUUCAGCACAGCCUCUCCUUCCAUCUCUGGGGAAAGGAAAAGGGACAGCUGGAUCAUUUGGGCUGUUCCCCAGCAGGAAGGUGGCAUCUUCAGGAGGCAAAGCUUGUCUCAGUCAUGGAUGAGAUUCAGGAUAAAGACCAGGUUACUGGGGCUGCUGCAGGGCCCACCCUCCUUCAAACAUCUGCCCCUCCAGAUGUGCUCAGUGACUGGGAAAUUGCAGGGGAUCUCAGGGUGUGCAUGAGCCAUGGUGCAGUUGGGGCUCCCUGUCAGCUGGUGCCAAAUGCCUUCCUGCAGAGGCUGGGGAGAAGCUGCAGC